UUAAUUCUUACGUUGUUUUAAAAAUGGAAGGGUGUAUACAGGU
This 43-nucleotide non-coding RNA is filed under the name Plasmodium falciparum 3D7. The record is from RNAcentral. Lineage: Eukaryota; Apicomplexa; Aconoidasida; Haemosporida; Plasmodiidae.